GGAUGAACGCUGGCGGCGUGCCUAAUACAUGCAAGUCGAACGCGAAAGGUCCAAAGCCUUCGGGCAGCGGGCCGAGUAGAGUGGCGAACGGGUGAGGAACACGUAGGUGACCUACCCUGAAGAGGGGGAUAACUGGCGGAAACGGCAGCUAAUACCCCAUGAGCUCACACGGGUUAGAGGCCGGGUGAGAAAACACUCAGGUGCUUCAGGAGGGGCCUGCGGCCCAUCAGCUAGUUGGUGAGGUAAGAGCUCACCAAGGCUCAGACGGGUAGGGGGCCUGAGAGGGUGGUCCCCCACAUGGGAACUGAGACACGGUCCCAACUCCUACGGGAGGCAGCAGUAAGGAAUAUUGCACAAUGGGCGCAAGCCUGAUGCAGCAACGCCGCGUGCCCGAGGAAGGCCUUCGGGUUGUAAAGGGCUUUUCUGGCUGAAGAGCAAGGACGGUAGGCCAGGAAUAAGCGUCGGCUAACUACGUGCCAGCAGCCGCGGUAAAACGUAGGACGCGAGCGUUAUCCGGAUUUACUGGGCGUAAAGCGCGGGCAGGCGGCUGUUCAAGUCGGACGUGAAAGCUCCCGGCUCAACCGGGAGAGGCCGUUCGAAACUGGGCAGCUAGAGGGCAGCAGAGGGGCGUGGAAUUCCGGGUGGAGUGGUGAAAUGCGUAGAGAUCCGGAGGAACACCAGAGGCGAAGGCGGCGCCCUGGGCUGCACCUGACGCUGAGCCGCGAAAGCCAGGGUAGCGAACGGGAUUAGAAACCCCGGUAGUCCUGGCCGUAAACGAUGUCCACUAGAUGUCGGGCCGUGAAGGCUCGGCGUCGCAGCUAACGCAGUAAGUGGACCGCCUGGGGAGUACGGCCGCAAGGCUA
RNAcentral lists this ribosomal RNA (863 nucleotides) under uncultured Chloroflexota bacterium. Its description in RNAcentral is "bacterial SSU rRNA". It matches the Rfam family "Bacterial small subunit ribosomal RNA", at positions 27 to 896 of the family's 1533-position model. The record is from RNAcentral. Lineage: Bacteria; Bacillati; Chloroflexota.